GACGAACGUUGGCGGCGUGCUUAACACAUGCAAGUCGAACGGAAAGGCCCUGCUUUUGUGGGGUGCUCGAGUGGCGAACGGGUGAGUAACACGUGAGUAACCUGCCCUUGACUUUGGGAUAACUUCAGGAAACUGGGGCUAAUACCGGAUAGGAGCUCCUGCUGCAUGGUGGGGGUUGGAAAGUUUCGGCGGUUGGGGAUGGACUCGCGGCUUAUCAGCUUGUUGGUGGGGUAGUGGCUUACCAAGGCUUUGACGGGUAGCCGGCCUGAGAGGGUGACCGGCCACAUUGGGACUGAGAUACGGCCCAGACUCCUACGGGAGGCAGCAGUGGGGAAUAUUGCACAAUGGGCGGAAGCCUGAUGCAGCAACGCCGCGUGCGGGAUGACGGCCUUCGGGUUGUAAACCGCUUUCGCCUGUGACGAAGCGUGAGUGACGGUAAUGGGUAAAGAAGCACCGGCUAACUACGUGCCAGCAGCCGCGGUGAUACGUAGGGUGCGAGCGUUGUCCGGAUUUAUUGGGCGUAAAGGGCUCGUAGGUGGUUGAUCGCGUCGGAAGUGUAAUCUUGGGGCUUAACCCUGAGCGUGCUUUCGAUACGGGUUGACUUGAGGAAGGUAGGGGAGAAUGGAAUUCCUGGUGGAGCGGUGGAAUGCGCAGAUAUCAGGAGGAACACCAGUGGCGAAGGCGGUUCCCUGGGCCUUUCCUGACGCUGAGGAGCGAAAGCGUGGGGAGCGAACAGGCUUAGAUACCCUGGUAGUCCACGCUGUAAACGGUGGGUACUAGGUGUGGGGUCCAUUCCACGGGUUCCGUGCCGUAGCUAACGCUUUAAGUACCCCGCCUGGGGAGUACGGCCGCAAGGCUAAAACUCAAAGGAAUUGACGGGGCCCCGCACAAGCGGCGGAGCAUGCGGAUUAAUUCGAUGCAACGCGUAGAACCUUACCUGGGUUUGACAUGGAUCGGGAGUGCUCAGAGAUGGGUGUGCCUCUUUUGGGGUCGGUUCACAGGUGGUGCAUGCCUGUCGUCAGCUCGUGUCGUGAGAUGUUGGGUUAAGUCCCGCAACGAGCGCAACCCUUGUUCACUGUUGCCAGCACGUUAUGGUGGGGACUCAGUGGAGACCGCCGGGGUCAACUCGGAGGAAGGUGGGGAUGACGUCAAGUCAUCAUGCCCCUUAUGUCCAGGGCUUCACGCAUGCUACAAUGGCUGGUACAGAGAGUGGCGAGCCUGUGAGGGUGAGCGAAUCUCGGAAAGCCGGUCUCAGUUCGGAUUGGGGUCUGCAACUCGACCUCAUGAAGUCGGAGUCGCUAGUAAUCGCAGAUCAGCAACGCUGCGGUGAAUACGUUCCCGGGGCU
RNAcentral lists this ribosomal RNA (1346 nucleotides) under uncultured bacterium. Its description in RNAcentral is "partial 16S ribosomal RNA". It matches the Rfam family "Bacterial small subunit ribosomal RNA", at positions 28 to 1381 of the family's 1533-position model. The record is from RNAcentral.